GACGCACGACGUUCACGUCCGUGCCAACGAAGUACCGUUCGGUUCUUUGUUACUUAACCUAGACAAACAUGGGUCGCAUGCACACUCCCGGCAAGGGCAUGAGCGGUUCCGCUCUGCCCUACAAGCGCUCCUCUCCCUCCUGGCUCAAGAUCACCUCCCAGGAGGUGAACGACAUCAUCGCCAAGAUGGCGAAGAAGGGCCUUACCCCCUCCCAGAUUGGCGUGCUUCUCCGUGAUAACCACGGCGUUGCUCAGGUGUCCUCCGUCACCAACUCCAAGAUCCUCCGCAUCCUGAAGGGCCAGGGCCUCGCGCCCACCCUCCCCGAGGACCUCUACUGCCUCAUCAAGAAGGCUGUGUCCGUGCGCAAGCACAUGGAGCGUAACCGCAAGGACAUGGACUCCAAGUUCCGCCUCAUUCUUAUCGAGUCCCGCAUCCACCGCCUGGCCCGCUACUACAAGCUCGCCAAGAAGCUCGCGCCCAACUGGAAGUACGACUCGGCCACCGCGUCUACCCUCGUCGCCUAAGCAACGAAGGUUUCAUUAGGUUUAGGGUCCGGCGUGUCCUUGAACCUGGGGUUGGUGAAGGGGUUCUUUGGGUUUGGUCGCGCGCGGGGCGUAGCGAUCGAGGGGAUUGAACAUACGAGUGGAACGCCGAUCGGAGCGGCCGGGCGCGUCACCGGAAGGGACGCAUCGGCUGG
Molecule: long non-coding RNA, 697 nt
Filed under: Micromonas commoda
Lineage: Eukaryota; Viridiplantae; Chlorophyta; Mamiellophyceae; Mamiellales; Mamiellaceae
Description: long non-coding RNA (MCOM_LNC000356)
Source: RNAcentral